AACGGCCAUACCAUGUUGAAUAUACCGGUUCUCGUUAGAUCACCGAAGUCAAGCAUCAUUGGGCGCGGUCAGUACUUGGGUGGGUGACCACCUGGGAACACCGCGUGCCGUU
This 112-nucleotide ribosomal RNA is filed under the name Caerostris extrusa. The record is from RNAcentral. Lineage: Eukaryota; Metazoa; Arthropoda; Arachnida; Araneae; Araneidae. RNAcentral also lists the same sequence under 1 other name.